RNAcentral lists this ribosomal RNA (748 nucleotides) under uncultured Enterobacteriaceae bacterium. Its description in RNAcentral is "bacterial SSU rRNA". It matches the Rfam family "Bacterial small subunit ribosomal RNA", at positions 755 to 1502 of the family's 1533-position model. Lineage: Bacteria; Pseudomonadati; Pseudomonadota; Gammaproteobacteria; Enterobacterales; Enterobacteriaceae. The record is from RNAcentral.
GAAAGCGUGGGGAGCAAACAGGAUUAGAUACCCUGGUAGUCCACGCUGUAAACGAUGUCGAUUUGGAGUUUGGGGGCAUGACCCUUGGGCUCCGGAGCUAACGCGUUAAAUCGACCGCCUGGGGAGUACGGCCGCAAGGUUAAAACUCAAAUGAAUUGACGGGGGCCCGCACAAGCGGUGGAGCAUGUGGUUUAAUUCGAUGCAACGCGAAGAACCUUACCUGGUCUUGACAUCCAUAGAAUCUUGUAGAGAUACGAGAGUGCCUUCGGGAGCUAUGAGACAGGUGCUGCAUGGCUGUCGUCAGCUCGUGUUGUGAAAUGUUGGGUUAAGUCCCGCAACGAGCGCAACCCUUAUCCUUUGUUGCCAGCGGGUAAAGCCGGGAACUCAAAGGAGACUGCCGUUGAUAAAGCGGAGGAAGGUGGGGACGACGUCAAGUCAUCAUGGCCCUUACGACCAGGGCUACACACGUGCUACAAUGGCGUAUACAAAGGGAAGCGAAGGUGCGAACUGGAGCGGACCUCCUAAAGUACGUCUAAGUCCGGAUUGGAGUCUGCAACUCGACUCCAUGAAGUCGGAAUCGCUAGUAAUCGUGAAUCAGAAUGUCACGGUGAAUACGUUCCCGGGCCUUGUACACACCGCCCGUCACACCAUGGGAGUGGGUUGCACCAGAAGUAGAUAGCUUAACCGCAAGGGGGGCGUUUACCACGGUGUGAUUCAUGACUGGGGUGAAGUCGUAACAAGGUAACCA